Molecule: ribosomal RNA, 253 nt
Filed under: uncultured bacterium
Lineage: Bacteria
Description: partial 16S ribosomal RNA
Rfam family: Bacterial small subunit ribosomal RNA
Source: RNAcentral
UACAGAGGUCCCAAGCGUUGUUCGGAUUCACUGGGCGUAAAGGGUGCGUAGGUGGGUUGGUAAGUCAGUGGUGAAAUCUCCGUGCUUAACAUGGAAACUGCCAUUGAUACUACUGAUCUUGAAUUUUCAGGAGGUAAGCGGAAUAUGUCAUGUAGCGGUGAAAUGCUUAGAUAUGACAUAGAACACCAAUUGCGAAGGCAGCUUACUACAGGAAUAUUGACACUGAUGCACGAAAGCGUGGGGAUCAAACAGG